GCUCUCUACCAUAAAUACUUGCAAUUGGGUUAUAAGAAGCCACUGUGGAAAGCUGGGAGCUUACCAUUGGGUUGGGCCACGUUCUACAAUCAGACAGUUGCAUUGGACAGGAGUUGGCAUAGACUAGGGCUAGGUUAUGAUUCGAGGAUUGGACAGGAUGACAUUAACCAAGCAGCAGUAUUGCACUAUGAUGGAGUCCUGAAACCAUGGUUGGAUAUAUGUAUUGGGCAUUAUAUGAGUUACUGGACCAAACAUGUCAACUAUGAUCAUCCGUACUUGCGGCAGUGCAAUGUCCAUGGGUAAUUGAAAUCAGAGCAUGACAAAGGGUAUUAUUGGCCCGCACAACAUCAUUAAUUGCUUCUAGUUCUAAGAAGUUUUGUGUUCACUCGAUUCUUUAACAACUUCUGUAAAUUUUAAUUUUUUUUCCCAAAAGCCUGCUUACUUAUGGUAGCUGAGUCAAGUUAUACAAAUAAGGGUCUGAGGGGCAUAUUCUUAUGUGGUAGUUAGUGUACAUAAUUCAGGUGUUGGAUUUAGAUUCAAACAGAUACAUUUGGAAAGAAGAUUAAAGAGCAGAAGAAAAUGGAUUUUCUACAUUUUGUUGUUUGUUACUAAUGUCUCAUAGUUUUGUGAGUGAUCUAUGGUUUCCUUGAAGGACAUCUUUAUAUUGUAUUGGUCGUGGUUUCAGUGGAGUUACUCUCCUGGACUUUUAUUUUCCCGAUUAUUAGGAAUUGGAAAUGAACCAGAAGCGGGAAGGUUUCAGAAAUUAUAUUCUCUGGUAAAUAGUUUACCAUUUGAAUUGCAUAUCUUACUGUAGAAGUGAGAAGGGAUUCAUUCAGCCGAGGUAAAUUUGCCAAAGUGUUUAUUGAAAAAUGAUUGGAAACUGCUUCACACACCAUCCCAUUGGCCGGGGUAGGCUUGCCUAGGUAUUUUAUCAUCAGGGUAAAUUGCGCUUGAAUGACCUCAGAAUUCACAAAUGGAUGACGUGACCCAUGGAAGAAGGUGGUUGGAUUUGUGUGGACAUCGGAUAUCUAAUAAGGCGCUGUCCAUCUAUCCACGUUAUGUGGUGCAUUGGACAGAUUUUUGUUGCCAUAAUAUUAAUUGUAUAUUCUUCUGUUACCCCUUGGCUACAAUUUCUGCUCGGUGGUUUCUUUUCUUUGGACUCAUCUCUCAGUCCAUUUUCUUCCAAAUUGACGAAAAAUGGCCACCAUCUCUGCCAGGACUCCAA
RNAcentral lists this unclassified non-coding RNA (1225 nucleotides) under Hevea brasiliensis (rubber tree). Lineage: Eukaryota; Viridiplantae; Streptophyta; Magnoliopsida; Malpighiales; Euphorbiaceae. The record is from RNAcentral.